This 82-nucleotide transfer RNA is filed under the name Halogranum rubrum. RNAcentral describes it as "tRNA_Pseudo_TAC". The record is from RNAcentral. Lineage: Archaea; Methanobacteriati; Methanobacteriota; Halobacteria; Halobacteriales; Haloferacaceae.
UCCACGGUAGCCAAGUGGCUAACAACUGCAGGCUUACGACCCGCACUGACGGGAUCCGCAGGCUUGAGUCCUGCCCGUGGAA